Molecule: ribosomal RNA, 305 nt
Filed under: uncultured bacterium
Lineage: Bacteria
Description: bacterial SSU rRNA
Rfam family: Bacterial small subunit ribosomal RNA
Source: RNAcentral
CCUACGGGGGGCAGCAGUGGGGGAUAUUGCACAAUGGGGGAAACCCUGAUGCAGCGACGCCGCGUGGACGAAGAAGUAUUUCGUUAUGUAAAGUCCUAUCAGCAGGGAAGAAGAAAAUGACGGUACCUGACUAAGAAGCCCCGGCUAACUACGUGCCAGCAGCCGCGGUAAUACGUAGGGGGCAAGCGUUAUCCGGAUUUACUGGGUGUAAAGGGAGCGUAGGUGGCAUGGUAAGCCAGAAGUGAAAACCCAGGGCUCAACUCUGUGGAUUGCUUUUGGAACUAUCAAGCUAGAGUGCUGGAGGG